Molecule: non-coding RNA, 10988 nt
Organism: Coffea arabica (coffee)
Lineage: Eukaryota; Viridiplantae; Streptophyta; Magnoliopsida; Gentianales; Rubiaceae
Source: RefSeq, a predicted model, not a curated record
GUGGUGUCAGGUGUGCACAUGGCUCGAGAAAGAGAAACAUCAGAGCUCAGACCAACGCCUUUUCUUCUCCUUUCUUUCGAUGUCUGUCUCUUUCCCCCAAAAAGCUCUUCUUCCUCUCUUCUUGUUCCUGUUCGUCAUCACCAACGGUGCCAUUUUCCCUCUUUUAUCCUUCAUUUUUCCGAUCGACAACAACGAAACCAAGAUAUGGUACGAAAUUUGGAGAUUUUCUCUAUCGUUCUCAUGCUACUUUAUGUUGCAGUUACGAAAUUUGCAGAUUACCUCCAUCAUUCUCAUGCUAUUUUCUGAGCUUUCCCCCCCUUUUUUGAAGGUCCAAAAAUUGGAAUUUUCUUUGAUUCUCUCAAAAACUACUAAUAAGGUGGUAUGGAUCAACAUAUUCCCAACCUAUUUUGCAUAAUAUUGGUGAAUGUUUUGAGCGAGCCUUCUUCUAUUUGCGUAUAUGUGAUUACAGUUUAUACUCUGCUUUUCUUUAUUUUUUUCUCUGCAAAAGAGAUUGCUUUGGAUUUUUUUGUUAUUUAUUUCUUGUUAUGACAUAUUAGAUGUAAGUUUCAAUUUUGGUUAUCAUGAAGUGUUUAUCCUCUUAGUUGUGUCUUGGAAAGUUUAAAUUUAUCAUGUUUCCUUGAGCCUUUUAAACUUAAAAUUGAUCAAUCCUCACUAGACGUUGGAUUCAUUUGUGCAUUUCAUAGGUCUCCACUUUUUGGGUCUUUUUGUACGUGGGGUUACUUCUUUCCCUUUUCCCCUUUUCUGUUUUAAAGUAAUGUAAUGAUAUAAUCAUGUUUAAUUUAUCAAAUGUUUGACAAAAUGUUAAAACUGUUAAUUUGUUAAAUAGCAACUAAAAUUGGAAAAAAGUUGUCCCCUAUAACCUAUUUUCUUGAUUUUCAACCGAAAGACUUUGUUCCUCUAUCCAUGAAUUUCCUCUCUCUUCUCAUGGUCUUCACUUACUGAUAAAAAGGAGAAGCUUUAUGUGCUUAUAUAAUCUCUUCUUCUAUUGUAGUUUUACAAAAGGAAAAAUAUCUGUUUUUAAAUGCUAAUCUCUUAGAGAGGUCUUCUAUUUAAGAUUUUUCCCCAUGAGUACGAAUGUGUAAUCUUUGUCAUGGUGCAGGUUUUUUACCCAUAAUAUUUUGGUUGGUCUAUUUAUUUAGACAAAAGAAAAAGUGUGAGGUUGGAUAUUAUAUAGGUGCAAUCUUCUGAUGAUUUUUUCCCUUCAGCCUUCUGUUUUAUUAAAAUACCAGAUUUUGAACAAAUAUCAUGAAUCAGAAAUGUCUAUGCUCAAUUAUAGAUGGUAGAAACUGAUAUGUGAAAAUCGGCUCUAAUAAUUUGAAAUUCACUCCUUUAAUUCAUUAGUGAACAGUUUGUUAAUAGUAGCCUUCCUACCUUUUUUCAUGCAACUUAUUUUAGACGGGUUUUCCUUCUGGGUUUAUAUUGUGUAUGACAUGUGUUUUUAGCAAUUAGAGGAUUAUUAUUUGACUAAUUAAUAUGUUAACAGGUUACAAAAAAUAAGUUAGAGUGGGACUAAUUGGCAGUGGAGUGAGAGAAGUCUUAACAUGGGAAAGAACAAGCAUAAAAGGCAUGUUAAAGAUUUGUCAAUUGACAGAGCAACUCUGUAUGAACAUUAACUAGAUGCUGCCUAAGGUAUAUGUAAUUUGGUGAUAAAACACUACAUUCUGCUGAUUUAUUUUGGUGGUUCUUGAUUCUCAUUUUGCAGAAUUUAAGUAGUGAACUCUACCACAAAUCCUUGAAAGAUGCUGCUAAGGUGUGCACAUGGCUCGAGAAAGAGAAACAUCAGAGCUCAGACCAACGCCUUUUCUUCUCCUUUCUUUCGAUGUCUGUCUCUUUCCCCCAAAAAGCUCUUCUUCCUCUCUUCUUGUUCCUGUUCGUCAUCACCAACGGUGCCAUUUUCCCUCUUUUAUCCUUCAUUUUUCCGAUCGACAACAACGAAACCAAGAUAUGGUACGAAAUUUGGAGAUUUUCUCUAUCGUUCUCAUGCUACUUUAUGUUGCAGUUACGAAAUUUGCAGAUUACCUCCAUCAUUCUCAUGCUAUUUUCUGAGCUUUCCCCCCCUUUUUUGAAGGUCCAAAAAUUGGAAUUUUCUUUGAUUCUCUCAAAAACUACUAAUAAGGUGGUAUGGAUCAACAUAUUCCCAACCUAUUUUGCAUAAUAUUGGUGAAUGUUUUGAGCGAGCCUUCUUCUAUUUGCGUAUAUGUGAUUACAGUUUAUACUCUGCUUUUCUUUAUUUUUUUCUCUGCAAAAGAGAUUGCUUUGGAUUUUUUUGUUAUUUAUUUCUUGUUAUGACAUAUUAGAUGUAAGUUUCAAUUUUGGUUAUCAUGAAGUGUUUAUCCUCUUAGUUGUGUCUUGGAAAGUUUAAAUUUAUCAUGUUUCCUUGAGCCUUUUAAACUUAAAAUUGAUCAAUCCUCACUAGACGUUGGAUUCAUUUGUGCAUUUCAUAGGUCUCCACUUUUUGGGUCUUUUUGUACGUGGGGUUACUUCUUUCCCUUUUCCCCUUUUCUGUUUUAAAGUAAUGUAAUGAUAUAAUCAUGUUUAAUUUAUCAAAUGUUUGACAAAAUGUUAAAACUGUUAAUUUGUUAAAUAGCAACUAAAAUUGGAAAAAAGUUGUCCCCUAUAAUCUAUUUUCUUGAUUUUCAACCGAAAGACUUUGUUCCUCUAUCCAUGAAUUUCCUCUCUCUUCUCAUGGUCUUCACUUACUGAUAAAAAGGAGAAGCUUUAUGUGCUUAUAUAAUCUCUUCUUCUAUUGUAGUUUUACAAAAGGAAAAAUAUCUGUUUUUAAAUGCUAAUCUCUUAGAGAGGUCUUCUAUUUAAGAUUUUUCCCCAUGAGUACGAAUGUGUAAUCUUUGUCAUGGUGCAGGUUUUUUACCCAUAAUAUUUUGGUUGGUCUAUUUAUUUAGACAAAAGAAAAAGUGUGAGGUUGGAUAUUAUAUAGGUGCAAUCUUCUGAUGAUUUUUUCCCUUCAGCCUUCUGUUUUAUUAAAAUACCAGAUUUUGAACAAAUAUCAUGAAUCAGAAAUGUCUAUGCUCAAUUAUAGAUGGUAGAAACUGAUAUGUGAAAAUCGGCUCUAAUAAUUUGAAAUUCACUCCUUUAAUUCAUUAGUGAACAGUUUGUUAAUAGUAGCCUUCCUACCUUUUUUCAUGCAACUUAUUUUAGACGGGUUUUCCUUCUGGGUUUAUAUUGUGUAUGACAUGUGUUUUUAGCAAUUAGAGGAUUAUUAUUUGACUAAUUAAUAUGUUAACAGGUUACAAAAAAUAAGUUAGAGUGGGACUAAUUGGCAGUGGAGUGAGAGAAGUCUUAACAUGGGAAAGAACAAGCAUAAAAGGCAUGUUAAAGAUUUGUCAAUUGACAGAGCAACUCUGUAUGAACAUUAACUAGAUGCUGCCUAAGGUAUAUGUAAUUUGGUGAUAAAACACUACAUUCUGCUGAUUUAUUUUGGUGGUUCUUGAUUCUCAUUUUGCAGAAUUUAAGUAGUGAACUCUACCACAAAUCCUUGAAAGAUGCUGCUAAGGUGUGCACAUGGCUCGAGAAAGAGAAACAUCAGAGCUCAGACCAACGCCUUUUCUUCUCCUUUCUUUCGAUGUCUGUCUCUUUCCCCCAAAAAGCUCUUCUUCCUCUCUUCUUGUUCCUGUUCGUCAUCACCAACGGUGCCAUUUUCCCUCUUUUAUCCUUCAUUUUUCCGAUCGACAACAACGAAACCAAGAUAUGGUACGAAAUUUGGAGAUUUUCUCUAUCGUUCUCAUGCUACUUUAUGUUGCAGUUACGAAAUUUGCAGAUUACCUCCAUCAUUCUCAUGCUAUUUUCUGAGCUUUCCCCCCCUUUUUUGAAGGUCCAAAAAUUGGAAUUUUCUUUGAUUCUCUCAAAAACUACUAAUAAGGUGGUAUGGAUCAACAUAUUCCCAACCUAUUUUGCAUAAUAUUGGUGAAUGUUUUGAGCGAGCCUUCUUCUAUUUGCGUAUAUGUGAUUACAGUUUAUACUCUGCUUUUCUUUAUUUUUUUCUCUGCAAAAGAGAUUGCUUUGGAUUUUUUUGUUAUUUAUUUCUUGUUAUGACAUAUUAGAUGUAAGUUUCAAUUUUGGUUAUCAUGAAGUGUUUAUCCUCUUAGUUGUGUCUUGGAAAGUUUAAAUUUAUCAUGUUUCCUUGAGCCUUUUAAACUUAAAAUUGAUCAAUCCUCACUAGACGUUGGAUUCAUUUGUGCAUUUCAUAGGUCUCCACUUUUUGGGUCUUUUUGUACGUGGGGUUACUUCUUUCCCUUUUCCCCUUUUCUGUUUUAAAGUAAUGUAAUGAUAUAAUCAUGUUUAAUUUAUCAAAUGUUUGACAAAAUGUUAAAACUGUUAAUUUGUUAAAUAGCAACUAAAAUUGGAAAAAAGUUGUCCCCUAUAAUCUAUUUUCUUGAUUUUCAACCGAAAGACUUUGUUCCUCUAUCCAUGAAUUUCCUCUCUCUUCUCAUGGUCUUCACUUACUGAUAAAAAGGAGAAGCUUUAUGUGCUUAUAUAAUCUCUUCUUCUAUUGUAGUUUUACAAAAGGAAAAAUAUCUGUUUUUAAAUGCUAAUCUCUUAGAGAGGUCUUCUAUUUAAGAUUUUUCCCCAUGAGUACGAAUGUGUAAUCUUUGUCAUGGUGCAGGUUUUUUACCCAUAAUAUUUUGGUUGGUCUAUUUAUUUAGACAAAAGAAAAAGUGUGAGGUUGGAUAUUAUAUAGGUGCAAUCUUCUGAUGAUUUUUUCCCUUCAGCCUUCUGUUUUAUUAAAAUACCAGAUUUUGAACAAAUAUCAUGAAUCAGAAAUGUCUAUGCUCAAUUAUAGAUGGUAGAAACUGAUAUGUGAAAAUCGGCUCUAAUAAUUUGAAAUUCACUCCUUUAAUUCAUUAGUGAACAGUUUGUUAAUAGUAGCCUUCCUACCUUUUUUCAUGCAACUUAUUUUAGACGGGUUUUCCUUCUGGGUUUAUAUUGUGUAUGACAUGUGUUUUUAGCAAUUAGAGGAUUAUUAUUUGACUAAUUAAUAUGUUAACAGGUUACAAAAAAUAAGUUAGAGUGGGACUAAUUGGCAGUGGAGUGAGAGAAGUCUUAACAUGGGAAAGAACAAGCAUAAAAGGCAUGUUAAAGAUUUGUCAAUUGACAGAGCAACUCUGUAUGAACAUUAACUAGAUGCUGCCUAAGGUAUAUGUAAUUUGGUGAUAAAACACUACAUUCUGCUGAUUUAUUUUGGUGGUUCUUGAUUCUCAUUUUGCAGAAUUUAAGUAGUGAACUCUACCACAAAUCCUUGAAAGAUGCUGCUAAGGUGUGCACAUGGCUCGAGAAAGAGAAACAUCAGAGCUCAGACCAACGCCUUUUCUUCUCCUUUCUUUCGAUGUCUGUCUCUUUCCCCCAAAAAGCUCUUCUUCCUCUCUUCUUGUUCCUGUUCGUCAUCACCAACGGUGCCAUUUUCCCUCUUUUAUCCUUCAUUUUUCCGAUCGACAACAACGAAACCAAGAUAUGGUACGAAAUUUGGAGAUUUUCUCUAUCGUUCUCAUGCUACUUUAUGUUGCAGUUACGAAAUUUGCAGAUUACCUCCAUCAUUCUCAUGCUAUUUUCUGAGCUUUCCCCCCCUUUUUUGAAGGUCCAAAAAUUGGAAUUUUCUUUGAUUCUCUCAAAAACUACUAAUAAGGUGGUAUGGAUCAACAUAUUCCCAACCUAUUUUGCAUAAUAUUGGUGAAUGUUUUGAGCGAGCCUUCUUCUAUUUGCGUAUAUGUGAUUACAGUUUAUACUCUGCUUUUCUUUAUUUUUUUCUCUGCAAAAGAGAUUGCUUUGGAUUUUUUUGUUAUUUAUUUCUUGUUAUGACAUAUUAGAUGUAAGUUUCAAUUUUGGUUAUCAUGAAGUGUUUAUCCUCUUAGUUGUGUCUUGGAAAGUUUAAAUUUAUCAUGUUUCCUUGAGCCUUUUAAACUUAAAAUUGAUCAAUCCUCACUAGACGUUGGAUUCAUUUGUGCAUUUCAUAGGUCUCCACUUUUUGGGUCUUUUUGUACGUGGGGUUACUUCUUUCCCUUUUCCCCUUUUCUGUUUUAAAGUAAUGUAAUGAUAUAAUCAUGUUUAAUUUAUCAAAUGUUUGACAAAAUGUUAAAACUGUUAAUUUGUUAAAUAGCAACUAAAAUUGGAAAAAAGUUGUCCCCUAUAACCUAUUUUCUUGAUUUUCAACCGAAAGACUUUGUUCCUCUAUCCAUGAAUUUCCUCUCUCUUCUCAUGGUCUUCACUUACUGAUAAAAAGGAGAAGCUUUAUGUGCUUAUAUAAUCUCUUCUUCUAUUGUAGUUUUACAAAAGGAAAAAUAUCUGUUUUUAAAUGCUAAUCUCUUAGAGAGGUCUUCUAUUUAAGAUUUUUCCCCAUGAGUACGAAUGUGUAAUCUUUGUCAUGGUGCAGGUUUUUUACCCAUAAUAUUUUGGUUGGUCUAUUUAUUUAGACAAAAGAAAAAGUGUGAGGUUGGAUAUUAUAUAGGUGCAAUCUUCUGAUGAUUUUUUCCCUUCAGCCUUCUGUUUUAUUAAAAUACCAGAUUUUGAACAAAUAUCAUGAAUCAGAAAUGUCUAUGCUCAAUUAUAUAUGGUAGAAACUGAUAUGUGAAAAUCGGCUCUAAUAAUUUGAAAUUCACUCCUUUAAUUCAUUAGUGAACAGUUUGUUAAUAGUAGCCUUCCUACCUUUUUUCAUGCAACUUAUUUUAGACGGGUUUUCCUUCUGGGUUUAUAUUGUGUAUGACAUGUGUUUUUAGCAAUUAGAGGAUUAUUAUUUGACUAAUUAAUAUGUUAACAGGUUACAAAAAAUAAGUUAGAGUGGGACUAAUUGGCAGUGGAGUGAGAGAAGUCUUAACAUGGGAAAGAACAAGCAUAAAAGGCAUGUUAAAGAUUUGUCAAUUGACAGAGCAACUCUGUAUGAACAUUAACUAGAUGCUGCCUAAGGUAUAUGUAAUUUGGUGAUAAAACACUACAUUCUGCUGAUUUAUUUUGGUGGUUCUUGAUUCUCAUUUUGCAGAAUUUAAGUAGUGAACUCUACCACAAAUCCUUGAAAGAUGCUGCUAAGGUGUGCACAUGGCUCGAGAAAGAGAAACAUCAGAGCUCAGACCAACGCCUUUUCUUCUCCUUUCUUUCGAUGUCUGUCUCUUUCCCCCAAAAAGCUCUUCUUCCUCUCUUCUUGUUCCUGUUCGUCAUCACCAACGGUGCCAUUUUCCCUCUUUUAUCCUUCAUUUUUCCGAUCGACAACAACGAAACCAAGAUAUGGUACGAAAUUUGGAGAUUUUCUCUAUCGUUCUCAUGCUACUUUAUGUUGCAGUUACGAAAUUUGCAGAUUACCUCCAUCAUUCUCAUGCUAUUUUCUGAGCUUUCCCCCCCUUUUUUGAAGGUCCAAAAAUUGGAAUUUUCUUUGAUUCUCUCAAAAACUACUAAUAAGGUGGUAUGGAUCAACAUAUUCCCAACCUAUUUUGCAUAAUAUUGGUGAAUGUUUUGAGCGAGCCUUCUUCUAUUUGCGUAUAUGUGAUUACAGUUUAUACUCUGCUUUUCUUUAUUUUUUUCUCUGCAAAAGAGAUUGCUUUGGAUUUUUUUGUUAUUUAUUUCUUGUUAUGACAUAUUAGAUGUAAGUUUCAAUUUUGGUUAUCAUGAAGUGUUUAUCCUCUUAGUUGUGUCUUGGAAAGUUUAAAUUUAUCAUGUUUCCUUGAGCCUUUUAAACUUAAAAUUGAUCAAUCCUCACUAGACGUUGGAUUCAUUUGUGCAUUUCAUAGGUCUCCACUUUUUGGGUCUUUUUGUACGUGGGGUUACUUCUUUCCCUUUUCCCCUUUUCUGUUUUAAAGUAAUGUAAUGAUAUAAUCAUGUUUAAUUUAUCAAAUGUUUGACAAAAUGUUAAAACUGUUAAUUUGUUAAAUAGCAACUAAAAUUGGAAAAAAGUUGUCCCCUAUAAUCUAUUUUCUUGAUUUUCAACCGAAAGACUUUGUUCCUCUAUCCAUGAAUUUCCUCUCUCUUCUCAUGGUCUUCACUUACUGAUAAAAAGGAGAAGCUUUAUGUGCUUAUAUAAUCUCUUCUUCUAUUGUAGUUUUACAAAAGGAAAAAUAUCUGUUUUUAAAUGCUAAUCUCUUAGAGAGGUCUUCUAUUUAAGAUUUUUCCCCAUGAGUACGAAUGUGUAAUCUUUGUCAUGGUGCAGGUUUUUUACCCAUAAUAUUUUGGUUGGUCUAUUUAUUUAGACAAAAGAAAAAGUGUGAGGUUGGAUAUUAUAUAGGUGCAAUCUUCUGAUGAUUUUUUCCCUUCAGCCUUCUGUUUUAUUAAAAUACCAGAUUUUGAACAAAUAUCAUGAAUCAGAAAUGUCUAUGCUCAAUUAUAGAUGGUAGAAACUGAUAUGUGAAAAUCGGCUCUAAUAAUUUGAAAUUCACUCCUUUAAUUCAUUAGUGAACAGUUUGUUAAUAGUAGCCUUCCUACCUUUUUUCAUGCAACUUAUUUUAGACGGGUUUUCCUUCUGGGUUUAUAUUGUGUAUGACAUGUGUUUUUAGCAAUUAGAGGAUUAUUAUUUGACUAAUUAAUAUGUUAACAGGUUACAAAAAAUAAGUUAGAGUGGGACUAAUUGGCAGUGGAGUGAGAGAAGUCUUAACAUGGGAAAGAACAAGCAUAAAAGGCAUGUUAAAGAUUUGUCAAUUGACAGAGCAACUCUGUAUGAACAUUAACUAGAUGCUGCCUAAGGUAUAUGUAAUUUGGUGAUAAAACACUACAUUCUGCUGAUUUAUUUUGGUGGUUCUUGAUUCUCAUUUUGCAGAAUUUAAGUAGUGAACUCUACCACAAAUCCUUGAAAGAUGCUGCUAAGGUGUGCACAUGGCUCGAGAAAGAGAAACAUCAGAGCUCAGACCAACGCCUUUUCUUCUCCUUUCUUUCGAUGUCUGUCUCUUUCCCCCAAAAAGCUCUUCUUCCUCUCUUCUUGUUCCUGUUCGUCAUCACCAACGGUGCCAUUUUCCCUCUUUUAUCCUUCAUUUUUCCGAUCGACAACAACGAAACCAAGAUAUGGUACGAAAUUUGGAGAUUUUCUCUAUCGUUCUCAUGCUACUUUAUGUUGCAGUUACGAAAUUUGCAGAUUACCUCCAUCAUUCUCAUGCUAUUUUCUGAGCUUUCCCCCCCUUUUUUGAAGGUCCAAAAAUUGGAAUUUUCUUUGAUUCUCUCAAAAACUACUAAUAAGGUGGUAUGGAUCAACAUAUUCCCAACCUAUUUUGCAUAAUAUUGGUGAAUGUUUUGAGCGAGCCUUCUUCUAUUUGCGUAUAUGUGAUUACAGUUUAUACUCUGCUUUUCUUUAUUUUUUUCUCUGCAAAAGAGAUUGCUUUGGAUUUUUUUGUUAUUUAUUUCUUGUUAUGACAUAUUAGAUGUAAGUUUCAAUUUUGGUUAUCAUGAAGUGUUUAUCCUCUUAGUUGUGUCUUGGAAAGUUUAAAUUUAUCAUGUUUCCUUGAGCCUUUUAAACUUAAAAUUGAUCAAUCCUCACUAGACGUUGGAUUCAUUUGUGCAUUUCAUAGGUCUCCACUUUUUGGGUCUUUUUGUACGUGGGGUUACUUCUUUCCCUUUUCCCCUUUUCUGUUUUAAAGUAAUGUAAUGAUAUAAUCAUGUUUAAUUUAUCAAAUGUUUGACAAAAUGUUAAAACUGUUAAUUUGUUAAAUAGCAACUAAAAUUGGAAAAAAGUUGUCCCCUAUAAUCUAUUUUCUUGAUUUUCAACCGAAAGACUUUGUUCCUCUAUCCAUGAAUUUCCUCUCUCUUCUCAUGGUCUUCACUUACUGAUAAAAAGGAGAAGCUUUAUGUGCUUAUAUAAUCUCUUCUUCUAUUGUAGUUUUACAAAAGGAAAAAUAUCUGUUUUUAAAUGCUAAUCUCUUAGAGAGGUCUUCUAUUUAAGAUUUUUCCCCAUGAGUACGAAUGUGUAAUCUUUGUCAUGGUGCAGGUUUUUUACCCAUAAUAUUUUGGUUGGUCUAUUUAUUUAGACAAAAGAAAAAGUGUGAGGUUGGAUAUUAUAUAGGUGCAAUCUUCUGAUGAUUUUUUCCCUUCAGCCUUCUGUUUUAUUAAAAUACCAGAUUUUGAACAAAUAUCAUGAAUCAGAAAUGUCUAUGCUCAAUUAUAGAUGGUAGAAACUGAUAUGUGAAAAUCGGCUCUAAUAAUUUGAAAUUCACUCCUUUAAUUCAUUAGUGAACAGUUUGUUAAUAGUAGCCUUCCUACCUUUUUUCAUGCAACUUAUUUUAGACGGGUUUUCCUUCUGGGUUUAUAUUGUGUAUGACAUGUGUUUUUAGCAAUUAGAGGAUUAUUAUUUGACUAAUUAAUAUGUUAACAGGUUACAAAAAAUAAGUUAGAGUGGGACUAAUUGGCAGUGGAGUGAGAGAAGUCUUAACAUGGGAAAGAACAAGCAUAAAAGGCAUGUUAAAGAUUUGUCAAUUGACAGAGCAACUCUGUAUGAACAUUAACUAGAUGCUGCCUAAGGUAUAUGUAAUUUGGUGAUAAAACACUACAUUCUGCUGAUUUAUUUUGGUGGUUCUUGAUUCUCAUUUUGCAGAAUUUAAGUAGUGAACUCUACCACAAAUCCUUGAAAGAUGCUGCUAAGAUAAAGGAACAAGGAAAAAGGAGGCUGCUUUUCUCCAUUCAACCAUGAAGAAGUAAGAAAAUUGUGCCCAAGAUAAAGGUGCAAAGGUGCAACUGUUUAUGCAUACGUAGUCUACUAUGAGAGAUAGGUAGCCAGCUAUUUCACACUUUUGGAUAGCAAUUUAUAACUCAAAUUGGAAGCAUAUGCAGCUCUCCACUCCCGAUUGUGUUUGAGUCUUGUAUCUCUUAGUAUUUACAUUAAAAAAGGGAGUCUUCAUGGGUGUUAGUAGUUGAGAGAAAAAGGGCAUUUCAUAGGCUUUUUGUAUUUUUAUAAUUUAUACCUUUUGGAACAUUAAGUAUAUUGUACUGAUACUGCUUUCUAAUGGUAAAAUCUGGUGGAGAAAGAAAUCCAGUAAGUCCGUAACUUACAAUUA